Oryza barthii is the source of this 209-nucleotide non-coding RNA. The record is from Rfam. Lineage: Eukaryota; Viridiplantae; Streptophyta; Magnoliopsida; Poales; Poaceae.
CCCAAAUCCACGGUUUUGCACUUUUUAUAUUCAAUGUUUGACCAUCCGUUUUAUUUUUUAAAAAUAUGAAUGGUAUUUUUAUUAUUAUUAGAUGAUAAAAUAUGAAUAGUAUGUUAUGGGUGACUGUUUUUUAAAAUUCGUUAUCAUAUUUUUUUAAAAUAAGAUGGACGAUUGAACUUUGGACACGGGAACCCACAACUGCUCUUAGG